This 925-nucleotide ribosomal RNA is filed under the name uncultured bacterium. Its description in RNAcentral is "bacterial SSU rRNA". It matches the Rfam family "Bacterial small subunit ribosomal RNA", at positions 51 to 955 of the family's 1533-position model. The record is from RNAcentral.
UAUCAUGCAAGUUCGAGCGAACUGAUUAGAAGCUUGCUUCUAUGACGUUAGCGGCGGACGGGUGAGUAACACGUGGGCAACCUGCCUGUAAGACUGGGAUAACUUCGGGAAACCGAAGCUAAUACCGGAUAGGAUCUUCUCCUUCAUGGGAGAUGAUUGAAAGAUGGUUUCGGCUAUCACUUACAGAUGGGCCCGCGGUGCAUUAGCUAGUUGGUGAGGUAACGGCUCACCAAGGCAACGAUGCAUAGCCGACCUGAGAGGGUGAUCGGCCACACUGGGACUGAGACACGGCCCAGACUCCUACGGGAGGCAGCAGUAGGGAAUCUUCCGCAAUGGACGAAAGUCUGACGGAGCAACGCCGCGUGAGUGAUGAAGGCUUUCGGGUCGUAAAACUCUGUUGUUAGGGAAGAACAAGUACAAGAGUAACUGCUUGUACCUUGACGGUACCUAACCAGAAAGCCACGGCUAACUACGUGCCAGCAGCCGCGGUAAUACGUAGGUGGCAAGCGUUAUCCGGAAUUAUUGGGCGUAAAGCGCGCGCAGGCGGUUUCUUAAGUCUGAUGUGAAAGCCCACGGCUCAACCGUGGAGGGUCAUUGGAAACUGGGGAACUUGAGUGCAGAAGAGAAAAGCGGAAUUCCACGUGUAGCGGUGAAAUGCGUAGAGAUGUGGAGGAACACCAGUGGCGAAGGCGGCUUUUUGGUCUGUAACUGACGCUGAGGCGCGAAAACGUGGGGAGCAAACAGGAUUAGAUACCCUGGUAGUCCACGCCGUAAACGAUGAGUGCUAAGUGUUAGAGGGUUUCCGCCCUUUAGUGCUGCAGCUAACGCAUUAAGCACUCCGCCUGGGGAGUACGGUCGCAAGACUGAAACUCAAAGGAAUUGACGGGGGCCCGCACAAGCGGUGGAGCAUGUGGUUUAAUUCAAA